This 248-nucleotide ribosomal RNA is filed under the name uncultured bacterium. Its description in RNAcentral is "partial 16S ribosomal RNA". It matches the Rfam family "Bacterial small subunit ribosomal RNA", at positions 15 to 258 of the family's 1533-position model. The record is from RNAcentral.
GAUCCUGGCUCAGAUUGAACGCUGGCGGCAGGCUUAACACAUGCAAGUCGAACGGUAACAUAAAGAAGCUUGCUUCUUUGAUGACGAGUGGCGGACGGGUGAGUAAUGCUUGGGAAUCUAGCUUAUGGAGGGGGGAUAACUACGGGAAACUGUAGCUAAUACCGCGUAAUAUCGAAAGAUUAAAGUGUGGGACCUUCGGGCCACAUGCCAUAGGAUGAGCCCAAGUGGGAUUAGGUAGUUGGUGAAGG